AUAUUUAAAGUGUUUGUUACAUGGGUGUCACUGUGGGUUCUUAUGGGUUAAAGUCAUUUUAUUCAAUAAUGUCCCAUCUGUUUCUUUAUAAUAAUGACUAUUCUGUACAUUGCUUCUACUUUUUCUGCCUUUGUGCACCGAUUCUACUUAGACUAGCAACAGAGAUGCCUGAACACACUAACUGACAAUAAAUACGUGAAAGGACCUCGUGACGACAUGUGUCAUCCAUUACAGAACAUUUCGUUGAGCCGCUUUUCUUUUUUCUCUCUGACAACCUGCAAUUAUACCAGCAUGCUCUGAGGAGUCAAUCUACGCUGCCAGCCGCACAUUAAAGUGUCUGACGAGGUGCGGAUCCCGAAGGAGCUGACUUCCUCCUCUUCUUCCUCC
Molecule: long non-coding RNA, 387 nt
Organism: Centropristis striata (black sea bass)
Lineage: Eukaryota; Metazoa; Chordata; Actinopteri; Perciformes; Serranidae
Exons: 3
Source: RefSeq, a predicted model, not a curated record